This 427-nucleotide unclassified non-coding RNA is filed under the name Hevea brasiliensis (rubber tree). The record is from RNAcentral. Lineage: Eukaryota; Viridiplantae; Streptophyta; Magnoliopsida; Malpighiales; Euphorbiaceae.
AAAAAAACAUAGUUGCAUGGAUCUGGUUCUCAAGGUCGUCGAUCCUCUAAGGCUACAAACUACGAUGCGCGGAAAUGGGACUUGGUAGCGUUUUCCAGUGUCCGAAACGUUUCCGACAUAGAAACGAGAUGACACAGCUCGUAGACGUUUCUCAUGAGUUUUCAGCUACGGACAUGCGUUCUAGCAAUGUGGUGUAGCUGUGAUAAACAGUGGCAACGGCAAUGGCAGUGACAGUGCAAGUGAGGGAUCCCUUCUCUGCCUCUCGCAGUCUGGCCUUUAACCUUCUCCAUUCCAUUGACAGUGACUUGCCUGCCUCGCAGUCUCGCCUAUUGUGAUGCUUUGGUUGUUUCUUGGUUUUUUGAUUGCUUUACAUUGGAAUGGGUUUUGAUUGUUUUAAGUUUUUGAAUAUGGUUUGGUUUGGACGUUU